This is a small nuclear RNA of Tupaia belangeri (northern tree shrew), 105 nucleotides long. The record is from Ensembl. Lineage: Eukaryota; Metazoa; Chordata; Mammalia; Scandentia; Tupaiidae.
UUGUCAUUUCGGCAGCAGGUACACUGAAACUGGAACAAUACAGAGAAGAUUAGCAUGGCCCCACUCAAAGAUGACACACGUAUUUAUGAAGUAUUCCAUAUUUCU